This 418-nucleotide ribosomal RNA is filed under the name Molgula manhattensis. Its description in RNAcentral is "partial 28S ribosomal RNA". Lineage: Eukaryota; Metazoa; Chordata; Ascidiacea; Stolidobranchia; Molgulidae. The record is from RNAcentral.
AGUACGUGAAACCGUUGUGAGGUAAACGGAGAGGCCCGGCGGGUCGCUUCGGUGCUUUCAGUUGGGUGGUCGUUUGGCUCGCCCGCCGGAGAUGUGUUUAGCACUCUGGCGGGUGUCCCGGGCGGCCGCCUUCGCACUAGCGCCGUUGCGAACGCCGCGACCGGUUGUGUGGCGACCAGAAGUCUUGUGCGAAGGUAGCCUGGCUGCUCUCGGGUGGCCGGGUGUUACAGCGCGCGGGGUAGACGGCUUGCUGUGCGAUCGAGGUGUACCUGGCCGCGCCUGCCUUUCGGGGCGAGUGGUGUCGUCGGUCGUGAUCGUUAGCGGUCCGCUCUCUGUUCUCAGAGGGUGGUUUGCUGGCUUUCGCGUCUGGCGGUUCGCUCUCCGGGCGCCAAGGGUCUGCGGUUAUGUCGGCCACCUC